This 501-nucleotide ribosomal RNA is filed under the name uncultured bacterium. RNAcentral describes it as "bacterial SSU rRNA". It matches the Rfam family "Bacterial small subunit ribosomal RNA", at positions 29 to 524 of the family's 1533-position model. The record is from RNAcentral.
AACGAACGCUGGCGGCGCGCCUAAUACAUGCAAGUCGAGCGAGAAGACGUAGCAAUACGUUUGUAAAGCGGCGAACGGGUGAGGAAUACAUGGGUAACCUACCCUCGAGUGGGGAAUAACUAGCCGAAAGGUUAGCUAAUACCGCGUACGCUCCUCGGACUUCGGUUCAGGGAGGAAAGCGAUACCGUGGGUAUCGCGCUCUUGGAUGGGCUCAUGUCCUAUCAGUUUGUUGGUGAGGAACGGCUCACCAAGGCUUCGACGGGUAGCUGGUCUGAGAGGACGAUCAGCCACACUGGCACUGCGACACGGGCCAGACUCCUACGGGAGGCAGCAGUAAGGAAUAUUGCGCAAUGGGCGAAAGCCUGACGCAGCGACGCCGCGUGGGGGAUGAAGGUCUUCGGAUUGUAAACCCCUUUCGGGAGGGAAGAUGGAACGAGCAAUCGUUCGGACGGUACCUCCAGAAGCAGCCACGGCUAACUUCGUGCCAGCCGCCGCAGUAAU